CGUUACCUAUGCGCGCUACCAAAUACAAUAUAAUACUCGCUGGUUCUAACCUCCGAUAACCUUACGAAAUCGUCUCUACCGGAUUUAAUAGUGAAAAUUUAACGUGUAUGUCAUUGACGCAAUGUUCACGACGAGAGUUUUAGUAAGUCUGGCCUCCACCGCCGAGUGCGGGAGGCCGCGCUCCCUUUUGGUUUUGGCCGGUCGAGUAGGCCUGAGCGGGAGCCUACGGACUUUCCUGAGCGCCCUGCCCGGCAGCUGCACUCGGUCGAGGCCGUCCCCGCGGGGAACUCGGGCCCCGGGUCGCGUCGUCGUCUGCGCUGGGAAGUCGCAGAGAACGUUUGACUUGAAAGCUUCUUCCAGUGGUGGAGCUCAAGAGAAUGUGAGGAGCAAUGGGUUAUGGUUGAGUGGUCACACUAAUAACAAUAGGUGGCGAUUUGACGGUGGUGGUGGUGGUGAUGGCAAGGUCUUUAAUGCGCCGCUGCCCGUCGCUGCUGUGUUCGGUCUGUCCUUCUUGUCAAUGUUGUGGGGCAACGAAGACGACGAAGAGAAGACGCCCGAGGAGAAAAUCAUUCAUUUGCUUAAACAAGCAAAGCUUUGUGUGCUGAAAAAGGAUUUAAAGGGUGCAGAGAAGAAGCUGCACGAGGCACUGUUUAUGGCUGAGGAGGAGAAGCACACGAAUGCAAUAAUCUACACCUAUGACCUGAUGGCCAAUGUAGCUUUCCUCGCAGGAAAGCUGGACUCUGCUGAGACCUUGUAUAAAGCCACAUUGGGUUUGAUGCUGAGCUCUGGUGUUGAGAAGGACAAUAAUGCCGCCAUUGAGAUAUCGCUGAAGCUUGCGGCCAUCUACGCUAUGCAGGGCAAGAAUGAGCUUGCAGUACUUGGAUAUGAGUGGUGUGUGAAGUUGAUGGAGGAAAAGCUUGUGCGACUGACAGAAGUGACUGAUGGAAGUUUAUCAGAGGAGUACAAGGCCAACACACGGUUGCUGCUGGGGAUGACGCUCGACUCAUUUGGGCGUUACCUCCGGGCCAACGGUCACUGGGAGUUGGCGCGCCAGCAGUACGUCAAGGCCCUGGCCAUUUCACAUGAGGUGCAGGGGGAUCAGCACCCACAGACAGUGGUGCUGAUGAGUGACCUGGCCACCACCUUGGACGCACUGGGACGCUUCGCCGAGGCCGAGGAGUUGUCAGGGCGUGCAUCCAUCAUCGCCGAGGAGACCGAGCAUCCGGAGCAGCCCACUGUUUUCCUGAACCACGCCGGGGUCCUCCUUCACCAAGGCGCGAAAACUACAGCCUGGCCGAGGCCAUGUACAUGAAGGCAUUGAAGUUCGCGGAGAAGCAAAAGGAUGCGAUCACUGCUCAAGAGAUCAGAAAGGGCCUCGAUGAACUGCAGAAAAGAAGAGCAAAAGCACAGAUAGCAGCAGUGUGAGGACAGUGGCUGUGGAAGUGAUUUAUCAGCUGCAUCUGAAGUCACGACACGAGGCUUGACCAACCCCGCCAAGGCCUCUGCAGCCUCUGGCGGCCCACUUCUUCCCGCGGUCACAUUCUGCGGCCUCUGCUCACAGGGAAGCACCACCAACCCUUCUCGGGCCUCCGCCACUUCUGGCGGUCCGUGUCUACCCAGGUCACACUCCAUGGCCUCCAACCAUCUGUGCUACAGACGGGCAUCUCCUAUUCCUGCCAGCAUGCCACCACUACCACCGGCCACUAUUGCUCAUCCAUCUUGGGCCUCCAUCCCUGCCUGCCGGCACCGAUGCUCAUUGGCGCUCUGCUGUCUCUGGCUACGAGUGCCAGUUUCUGAGCUCUCCUUUCAGGGCUGUGCCUGGUGCUUGCUCUUGACUGCGGUUUGCUUCCCUCUUUACAUCUUGGGCCCGUCAUCUUCGGUGGCCUUGGCCGACAUUGGGCUGCGCACUGCGGCCAUCUGGGCGCCAUGCCUGCACAUUGGGCUGCUUUUGGUGGUCGCUGGUCGACGCCUGUGGCGACCACGAGCAGAGCACUGCCAUCAUCCCGCUGCUGUGUCCCACCAUCGCCAGUAGUUUUUUUUUUCCGCCGCCAGCUACCAGCUCCGGCUUCUCCAAACAAUGCAUCACUUGCUGCAGUGUCUUGUCACCUCCAGCUGCCUACUUGAAGACUACAUAACCUACUCAUCCACUGCUCUUGAUCGGCAUCCAUCCUCAUGCCAGUUCCUCUACCUUUAGGUCAUUCCUACUUGAUUUACUUUUCUCUUCACCCCUGAUCUUUCUUCACUCGGCAAUACUUGCCAGCUUUGCCUCUUUCGCUGAAACCAUAAAAGUGGCUGCAGAGGUCGCAUGGCUACGGUCAGUAACUCCUUGCCUUCUCACUGCUUUCUCCGCCGCCUCUUCAAAACCCUUUCCUCACCACAAUGAUGACAACUACUACUCUGUACAGCAGGCAUCACAUUCGGCCGAUUAAACAUCCCUUUGAUCUUUUCCCUAAUCACCAAACUAUGGAUCAGAGCGCGAACGCAACAUAAAAUGGGCUGGAGCAGCACACGUCACUAAAAAAUAAUUAACCAAGAGACAUUGCAUUAUACCAGGGGUCCUCAAACUACGGCCCGCGGGCCACAUGCGGCCCGCCGAGGACAUUUAUCCGGCCCGCCGGGUGUUUUCGCCGCCGCUGCCUGUCUGUUACUUUUUUUCUACAUGAGAAGGACGGUCAUUGGUGGAAGAGGGAGAGGGGGCGGAGUUCCCCCCAAUCAGACUGCAUUGAUGGGCAGUGCAGUCUGUAUGUCUCUGUGUGGGCAAAGUUAUUGCUGGUAUAUUGUUUUUGUAGCGCUGUAUAUAUAUUGGUAUUUUACUAAUAUCAAUUUUGACUCCCUAGGAAACAAUGAUGUCAAGAAAGAGAAAAAUUUACUCGGAGUGUAGGAUAUUCAAAGAACAGUGGACUUAUGAUUACUUUUUCAUGCAGUACAAGGAAAGAGCUGUGUGUCUAAUAUGCCAGAAUAUAGUGUCUGUGUUCAAAGAAUACAAUUUGCGUCGACACUAUGAAACUCAACAUAAAGAUAAAUAUGAUUGUUUGGUCGGAGAAGUGAGAAAAGAUAAAAUAUUAAAACUGAAAAAUACAUUAACAACUCAGCAAAAUACUUUUGUGAAGCAGAAGAAGCUAAUAGCGUGCACUGGCAGACCAUUCGUGGACGGAGAAUUUGUUAAAGAAUGCCUUCUUUCUGUUGCCAAAGAGAUGUGUCCAGAGAAGGCCGAUUUAUUUAGUACAGUGAGUCUUUCAGGACCUACAAUUACACGGAGUAUUGAAGAAAUGGGAGACAAUUUGCAUCAGCAUUUGCAAAACUCCACAAAAAAACUUUCCUAUUUUUCCUUGGCACUCGACGAAAGCAAUGAUGUUCGUGAUUCUGCACAACUUCUAAUUUUUAUUCGUGGGACAAAUGACUUUCGAAGUCACAGAAGAGCUUGCUGCACUGCAAAGCAUCAAAGGAACAACUACAGGAGAGGAUAUCUUUCGAUUUAAAGCUUUCGUGACUGCAGGGAUUAAUCUUCUUGGUUCUUUCGGUAAAGUCACAUAGAA
Molecule: RNA transcript, 3536 nt
Organism: Lethenteron reissneri (Far Eastern brook lamprey)
Lineage: Eukaryota; Metazoa; Chordata; Hyperoartia; Petromyzontiformes; Petromyzontidae
Gene: TTC19
Gene name: tetratricopeptide repeat domain 19
Source: RefSeq, a predicted model, not a curated record